GGAUUUGAUCCUGGUUCAGGACUAACGCUUGCGGUACGCCUAAUGCAUGCAAGUCGAGCGAGAUAUUUUCAUUUGAAUGAAGACUAACUUGUUAGUUUGAUUUCUCCGAAGAGAUCUAGCGGCGAACGGGAGAGUAACAGGUGGGUACCUGCCCAGAAGACCGGGAUAGAGGACCGAAGGGUCCAGUAAUACCGGAUGAUAUUUUUCGAAAUCAAAUGGUGGUCGAAUUAUGGCCUCCGCUUUUGGAUGGGCCCGCUUCCUAUCAGCUCGUUGGUGGGGUAAAAGCCUACCAAGGCUACGACGGGUAGUCGGCUUGAGAGAGUGACCGGCCUCAUGGGGACUGAGACACGGCCCUGACUCCUACGGGAGGCAGCAGCAGGGAAUUUUGCGCAAUGGACGAAAGUCUGACGCAGCGAUACCGCGUGUGGGAUGAAGGUGCUACGCAUUGUAAACCACUGUCAGGAGGGAAUAAGGGUAAGUGCAGGAAAUGGCACUUAUUUGAAGGUACCUCGUAAGGAAGCCCCGGCUAACUACGUGCCAGCAGCCGCGGUAAAACGUAGGGGGCGAGCGUUGUCCGGUAUUACUGGGCUUGAAGCGUUUGUAGGCGGUUCAAAAAGUCCAUAGUGAAAGCUCUCAGCUCAACUGAGAAAUUGCUAUGGAAACUAGUGGACUGGAGGACAGUAGAGGUCUGUGGAACUCAAGGAGUAGCGGUGAAAUGCGUAGAUAUCUUGAAGAACACCAGAGAGGAAGCUGACAGGCUGGGCUGUAUCUGACGCUGAGAAACGAAAGCUAGGGGAUCGAACCGGAUUAGAUACCCGGGUAGUCCUAGCCGUAAACGAUGAAUGCCAAAUGUCGGCUUUUUUGUCGGCGUUGCAGAGAAAUCCAUGAGCAAUCCGCCUGGGGAGUACGGCCGCAAGGCUAAAACUCAAAGGAAUUGACGGGGGCCCGCACAAGCGGUGGAGCGCCUGGUUUAAUACGAUGCAAAGCGUAGAACCUUACCAGGGCUUGACAUGUAGGAAGUAGGAACUCGAAAGAGGGACCACCAGUAUCCAGUCUGGAGCCUACACAGGUGUUGCAUGGCUGUCGUCAGCUCGUGUCGUGAGAUGUUCCGUUAAGUCGGGUAACGAGCGCAACCCUCGCCCUUAGUUGCCAGCGGGUAAUGCCGGGGACUCUAAGGGGACUGCCUUUUAGGAGGAAGGAGAGGACGACGUCAAGUCAGUAUGGCCUUUAUGUCCUGGGCUACACAGGCGCUACAAUGGAUAUGACAAUGGGUAGCAAACCGGCGACGGUGAGCCAAUCCCCAAACAUAUCCUCAGUUCGGAUUGCAGAUUGCAACUCAUCUGCAUGAAGUCGGAAUCGCUAGUAAACGCAGAUCAGCAAUGCUGCGUUGAAUACGUUCCCGGGCCUUGUACACACCGCCCGUCAAGCCACCUGAAUUGGCUGCACCAGAAGCCGUUGGCCUAACCCAUUUAUUUGGGGGGGAGAUGACCAAGGUGUGGUCAGUAAGGGGGACUAAGUCGUAACAAGGUAGCCGUAGCGGAAGCUGCGGCUGGAUCACCUCCUUUUAAGG
This 1570-nucleotide ribosomal RNA is filed under the name bacterium. Its description in RNAcentral is "bacterial SSU rRNA". It matches the Rfam family "Bacterial small subunit ribosomal RNA". The record is from RNAcentral.